RNAcentral lists this non-coding RNA (189 nucleotides) under Staphylococcus succinus. RNAcentral describes it as "T-box sequence". It matches the Rfam family "T-box leader". From Rfam's summary of the family: Uncharged tRNA acts as the effector for transcription antitermination of genes in the T-box leader family. T-boxes are found upstream of many aminoacyl-tRNA synthetase genes and some amino acid biosynthetic genes usually in Gram-positive bacteria. The anticodon of a specific tRNA base pairs to a specifier sequence within the T-box motif, and the NCCA acceptor tail of the tRNA base pairs to a conserved bulge in the T-box antiterminator hairpin. Lineage: Bacteria; Bacillati; Bacillota; Bacilli; Caryophanales; Staphylococcaceae. The record is from RNAcentral.
UUGUUCGUAGGCUAAGUAAUAUUAAUUGCUUGAUUUCAGAGAGCUUGUGGUUAGUGAGAACAAGUAAUCGGCAUUAAUAUGAAUCUACCUACUUUAUAGAGAACAAUCGGUUUUAGCCGUUAUUUUAGUGAGAGAGCAGUCUAAUUUGACUGUUAAAUAGGGUGGCAACGCGUAGACCACGUCCCUUGU